RNAcentral lists this ribosomal RNA (305 nucleotides) under uncultured bacterium. RNAcentral describes it as "bacterial SSU rRNA". It matches the Rfam family "Bacterial small subunit ribosomal RNA", at positions 337 to 640 of the family's 1533-position model. The record is from RNAcentral.
UCCUACGGGAGGCAGCAGUGAGGAAUAUUGGUCAAUGGCCGGAAGGCUGAACCAGCCAAGCCGCGUGAAGGACGAAGGUGCCAAGCAUUGUAAACUUCUUUUGUCAAGGGACAAAAUCAGGCUCGAGAGCCUGACCGAGGGUACUUGAAGAAAAAGCAUCGGCUAACUCCGUGCCAGCAGCCGCGGUAAUACGGAGGAUGCGAGCGUUAUCCGGAUUUAUUGGGUUUAAAGGGUGCGUAGGCGGAUUUUUAAGUCAGCGGUAAAAUGUCCGGGCUCAACCCGGGCCGGCCGUUGAAACUGGGGAU